Long non-coding RNA from Poecilia latipinna (sailfin molly), 213 nucleotides. RefSeq lists it as uncharacterized. NCBI's taxonomy places the organism in Eukaryota, Metazoa, Chordata, Actinopteri, Cyprinodontiformes, Poeciliidae. The transcript is spliced from 3 exons. The record is from RefSeq and is a predicted model, not a curated record.
GAAAGGUUUCUCACCUGUGUGGGUUCUCAUGUGUCUAUUUAAACUUGAUUUUUGGGUACAUCUUUGUCCACAAAGAUCACAACUGAAAGGUUUAUCCUCUGUGUGGAUUCUCAUGUGUACAUUUAAACUUGAUUUCUGGCUACAUCUGUAUCCACAAAGAUCACAACUGAAAGGUUUCUCUCCUGUGUGGAUUCUCAUGUGUUUAUUUAAAUG